Molecule: ribosomal RNA, 117 nt
Filed under: Candidatus Gottesmanbacteria bacterium RIFCSPLOWO2_01_FULL_49_10
Lineage: Bacteria; Candidatus Gottesmaniibacteriota
Source: RNAcentral
CUCGGUGAUCUGAGCGAGAUGGAACGACCUGAUCCCAUUCCGAACUCAGAAGUCAAACGUCUUAGCGUCGACAAUACCUGAGUCGCAAGGCUCCGGGAAGAUAGGUCAUUGCCGAGG